UGUGAAGUGCCUGAUUAAAGGAUAAUUUUGAUAGAAUUAAUAACGUGCAUGCCCCCCCCGGCACCUUCACAA
RNAcentral lists this transfer RNA (72 nucleotides) under Bruchidius siliquastri. RNAcentral's name for it is "tRNA-Ile". Lineage: Eukaryota; Metazoa; Arthropoda; Insecta; Coleoptera; Chrysomelidae. The record is from RNAcentral.